RNAcentral lists this ribosomal RNA (256 nucleotides) under uncultured bacterium. Its description in RNAcentral is "partial 16S ribosomal RNA". It matches the Rfam family "Bacterial small subunit ribosomal RNA", at positions 57 to 305 of the family's 1533-position model. The record is from RNAcentral.
GCAAGUCGAGGGGUAACAGAUGAAGAGCUUGCUCUGAUUGCUGACGACCGGCGCACGGGUGGUAACAAGUAUGCAACCUACCUUUUACAGAGGGAUAGCCCAGAGAAAUUUGGAUUAAUACCUCAUAAUAUUUUUAACUCGUAUGUGUUUUAAUUUAAAACUUCGGUGGUAAAAGAUGGGCAUGCUUUCUAUUAGUUUGUUGGUGAGGUAACGGCUCACCAAGACUAUGAUAGAUAGGGGGUCUGAGAGGAUGAAC